AGCGGAAUGCGAUAAGUAAUGUGAAUUGCAGAAUUCAGUGAAUCAUNNAAUCUUUGAACGCACCUUGCGCCCCUUGGUAUUCCGAGGGGCAUGCCUGUUUGAGUGUC
RNAcentral lists this ribosomal RNA (107 nucleotides) under Inocutis jamaicensis. Its description in RNAcentral is "partial 5.8S ribosomal RNA". It matches the Rfam family "5.8S ribosomal RNA", at positions 47 to 153 of the family's 154-position model. Rfam says of the family: 5.8S ribosomal RNA (5.8S rRNA) is a component of the large subunit of the eukaryotic ribosome. It is transcribed by RNA polymerase I as part of the 45S precursor that also contains 18S and 28S rRNA. Lineage: Eukaryota; Fungi; Basidiomycota; Agaricomycetes; Hymenochaetales; Hymenochaetaceae. The record is from RNAcentral.